GAUGAAGAACGUAGCGAAAUGCGAUACUUGGUGUGAAUUGCAGAAUCCCGUGAACCAUCGAGUCUUUGAACGCAAGUUGCGCCCGAAGCCAUUAGGCCGAGGGCACGCCUGCCUGGGCGUCACACGUCGUUGCCCCCCCAUCUACUCCUUCGGGAUUGCGGGGGGCGGAUGAUGGCCUCCCGUGCGCCUCGUCGCGCGGUUGGCAUAAAUGCCAAGUCCUCGGCGACACACGCCACGACAAUCGGUGGUUGCGAAACCUCGGUUGCCCGUCGUGUGCGGUCGUCGCGCAUCGAGGGCUCGAAAAAAUUGCCGGGCUCCGGCUCGGCUUUCAACGCGACCCCAGGUCAGGCGGGGUUACCCGCUGAAUUUAAGCAUAUCAAAAGCGGAGGA
Molecule: unclassified non-coding RNA, 390 nt
Filed under: soil metagenome
Description: partial contains 5.8S ribosomal RNA, internal transcribed spacer 2, and large subunit ribosomal RNA
Rfam family: 5.8S ribosomal RNA (bases 1-122)
Source: RNAcentral